UACGGAGGGUGCAAGCGUUAAUCGGAAUUACUGGGCGUAAAGCGUGCGCAGGCGGUUUGUUAAGUCCGCUGUGAAAUCCCCGAGCUCAACUUGGGAAUUGCAGUGGAUACUGGCAAGCUGGAGUAUGGUAGAGGAAGGUGGAAUUCCCGGUGUAGCGGUGAAAUGCGCAGAUAUCAGGAAGAACACCCGUGGCUAAGGCGGCUCUCUAGUACGGUACUGACGCUGAGACGCGAAAGCGUGGGGAGCGAACAGG
This 253-nucleotide ribosomal RNA is filed under the name uncultured bacterium. Its description in RNAcentral is "partial 16S ribosomal RNA". It matches the Rfam family "Bacterial small subunit ribosomal RNA", at positions 524 to 776 of the family's 1533-position model. The record is from RNAcentral.